This 851-nucleotide long non-coding RNA is filed under the name Helianthus annuus (common sunflower). The record is from RNAcentral. Lineage: Eukaryota; Viridiplantae; Streptophyta; Magnoliopsida; Asterales; Asteraceae.
UGAUACCCCCUCUUCUCUUUUUGUUUAAUCAGCUUGUUUUGGCAUUACGAUAAAGAGAGAAAGAAACCGGACACGCAACAUCUCCAUUGAAUCCAUCUAAUCUCUCCUCUGAUUGAACGCGAACCAAAGGAAGAAGAACAUAAAUCGGAAGCCAUCCGAUUCUAGACCUUAAUCGGAGCGCUGAAAACCAAUUAAGGACUAACGUGAUUAAGAAUCAUUUGAAAUUGUGAUAAUGAUCGAGAAGGAAGAAACUAUGCCUGUCAGCAUUGGGUGAAUGGAGGUAGAAACAGAGGAAACUGAAAAUGGUAAUAAUGAUGUAUCUCGUCCCUAAAGAGGCUAAUGAUCAGCCGAAGGAACUACUAUACUAGAAACAAGCUUCUAAAAGGCUAUUGCAGAAUGGGAUACGGGUACUGAUGCGGGUCCUCUUGUAACUAGGCCUAGGCAUAUUCGGUUUGAAUCUCUUCAUGAAGGUAUAUAGGGGUGCUAAACGGGUCAUGUUCGCGGGUUUGCGGGUCAACCCGAACCCGAAAAUUUUAGACUGAUGCGAACCCGAAAAUCAUGCCGUACAUAUGAAUCCGAACCCGAAUAUUCGCAUACCGACCGAACCCGACCCGUUCAACCCGAUUUUUUUUUAUUUUUUUUCAGCAAAUUAAUAUAUUAAAAUUAACACUACAACAAAAAAAAACACAAAUUUAUAUAAUAAAAUUACAUUAAAAUCAUAUAAAUUUAUGUCAACUUCCAUUUUUAAGUUAUAUUUAUAGCAUAAAAUAUACACCCAAUUUAAUUUAUGACAUAAAACAUAUUUUUAAAAAUAUAAUAUAAUAGAAAUGGGUUAAACGGGUCAACCUGCC